Molecule: ribosomal RNA, 904 nt
Filed under: uncultured Bacillota bacterium
Lineage: Bacteria; Bacillati; Bacillota
Description: bacterial SSU rRNA
Rfam family: Bacterial small subunit ribosomal RNA
Source: RNAcentral
CAAGUCGAACGAGGAUCACCGGUGUAGCAAUACAUUGUUGAUCCUAGUGGCGCACGGGUGAGUAACACGUGGGUGACCUGCCCUUGAGCUCGGGAUACCCCCUCGAAAGGGGGGCUAAUACCGGAUACGUUCCUUGGUCGAAAGAUCGGGGAGGAAAGGUGGCGCAAGCUGCCGCUCUUGGAGGGGCUCGCGGCCUAUCAGCUAGUUGGCGGGGUAACGGCCCACCAAGGCUAUGACGGGUAGCUGGUCUGAGAGGACGACCAGCCACACGGGGACUGAGACACGGCCCCGACUCCUACGGGAGGCAGCAGUGGGGAAUUUUCCGCAAUGGGCGAAAGCCUGACGGAGUGACGCCGCGUGUGGGACGAAGGCCUUCGGGUCGUAAACCACUGUCAGUGGGAAAGAUGGGUGUCGGGGCUAAUACCUCCGGCAUCUGACGGUACCUGCAGAGGAAGCCCCGGCCAACUCUGUGCCAGCAGCCGCGGUAAGACAGAGGGGGCAAGCGUUGCUCGGAAUUACUGGGCGUAAAGGGCGCGUAGGCGGGAUGGCAAGUCGGUCGUGAAAUCCCUCGGCUCAACCGAGGAACGUCGAUCGAUACUGCUGUUCUUGAGGAUUGCAGAGGAGACUGGAAUUCCCGGUGUAGCGGUGAAAUGUGUAGAGAUCGGGAGGAACACCGGUGGCGAAGGCGGGUCUCUGGGCAAUUCCUGACGCUGAGGCGCGAAAGCGUGGGGAGCAAACGGGAUUAGAUACCCCGGUAGUCCACGCUGUAAACGAUGACGACUAGGUGUGGGGGGGGUUCAGUCCCUUCCGCGCCGCAGCUAACGCAUUAAGUCGUCCGCCUGGGGAGUACGGCCGCAAGGUUGAAACUCAAAGGAAUUGACGGGGGCCCGCACAAGCCGGUGGA